GACGAACGCUGGCGGCGUGCUUAACACAUGCAAGUCGAACGGAAAGGCCCUGCUUUUGUGGGGUGCUCGAGUGGCGAACGGGUGAGUAACACGUGAGUAACCUGCCCUUGACUUUGGGAUAACUUCAGGAAACUGGGGCUAAUACCGGAUAGGAGCUCCUGCUGCAUGGUGGGGGUUGGAAAGUUUCGGCGGUUGGGGCUGGACUCGCGGCUUAUCCGCUUGUUGGUGGGGUAGUGGCUUACCAAGGCUUUGACGGGUAGCCGGCCUGGGAGGGCGAACGGCCACAAUGGGACUAAGAUACGGCCCAGACUGCUACGGGAGGCAGCAGUGGGGAAUAUUGCACAAUGGGCGGAAGCCUGAUGCAGCAACGCCGCGUGCGGGAUGACGGCCUUCGGGUUGUAAACCGCUUUCGCCUGUGACGAAGCGUGAGUGACGGUAAUGGGUAAAGAAGCACCGGCUAACUACGUG
This 468-nucleotide ribosomal RNA is filed under the name uncultured bacterium. RNAcentral's name for it is "partial 16S ribosomal RNA". It matches the Rfam family "Bacterial small subunit ribosomal RNA", at positions 28 to 507 of the family's 1533-position model. The record is from RNAcentral.